This 240-nucleotide unclassified non-coding RNA is filed under the name soil metagenome. RNAcentral describes it as "partial contains 5.8S ribosomal RNA, internal transcribed spacer 2, and large subunit ribosomal RNA". The record is from RNAcentral.
AACAAGGCGUACCUGCGGACCUGCGGAAGGAUCAUUACCGAGUGUGGCCCCCUUUCUAAGAGGGGGUACCUCCCGUCCUUUGCAGGCCCUUUUUUAAGGGGCUUUUUGACUUUGCUUCGGCGGGUUUAGCCCCCCGCCGGAACACCCUCAAGAAAAUCUUUUAAUAAACUUUUGUUGUCCGAGUUUACUUGCGAAUAAAUCAAAACUUUCAACAACGGAUCUCAGAUCGGAAGAGCACAC